AAACGUCUUCCAGUAUCUUCAACCAAGUCCAGUUGCCCUUGAUUUUAACCUUCGUUGGAGAACUAUGACCUGGAUGACUGAGAACCUUCAUAGACAUUGUCCUUCAACCAUAUUUUCACACUUUUUAAAAUGUUUAAAAGAUGCAUUCUCUGACACUCAGUGGUAAAUUCCACAUCCCAGCUGCCUUUUCUGAGAAGCAGUUUUUUCCAAAUGCCGUAGACCAAAACUUAACAGUCCCCUCUAGAAGAUACAGGAAGAGUCAACACCAUGUGUGAGAUGAAGUUCUGUUCCUAGAGGUCAAGGAUGAAUAGCUAAUUAGCAAUGUCGCGUGAUGUCUGAAGAUUCUUGGUUAUCGUAGGAUAUGUACAGCUGCCUUCGACUUCUCAAUAUGUAGCCUAGCAAGUGAAUCUUCCCUGGUGGACGUUUGCUUGCAGCACAUCCACCAAGCUAACUGUGUAAGAAAGACCGUGCGUCCAGAUAAAUAAGGAGACAUUAGCUAGGAAGCUAGCAGUUCAGUCCAUUGCAAGUUGCGAACCAAUGGAGACAAGACAACGAGGCUCCGCCUUUAAACCACACGUGUUAAAAAAAGAAAGAGGCCGCCUGUAACUGACGGAGCAAAUCUAAAGCAAAACAUGUCUUUCAGUUGGACUUUAACCUUGCUAAUUUCACUGUUUAAAUGAUUUGAUUAUUAUUUUGGAGGAUGGCCGUGAGAAUAGCUCAACUGAUAUCGCCACUGUAUUUAGAGAGAAUUAUUCAGAAGGGCUUUGGUGACUCGCUCAGCUUUUGUCUAAACCCACCGUUUGAUUAAAAUGUGAUUGACCAAAACUAUUUGGACUGUUAUUGGCCAGAUUUACCCGUAUUUCGGUGUAUGUUCAAGCUCCCCAGAGGAUGCUCGGAAUGUUUUUGACGUCUUUUUUUUUUUGCUCCAUUACUCAAAUAACGAAAGAUUGGGGGUGUGACAUCGUUUGUGUUAAGAAAUAGUAAAGAAUUUAUUCAGAUCUAGGAGCAAGGUACUGAGCGCCAGGCGAGGGCGUUGGAUCGUGAGUGAUGGUGUACGUGACGACCGCAGGCUCAAACAGAGUUUAUUUGAUGAGUGUGAACCGUGACACAAAAAGCCCUGCGAACCCCCCACCCCCCUUUACCCACCGCCAUCCACGCCACCUCCAUUGACUUGUUGUUGAUUGUGGUAAAUGCUAGUGCCUUUGCUGUAUUGUGAAACUGGAUAUUGAUUGUACUGUUGUACCGACAGGGCCUGGGGAUAGUCAGGCACUCUAUUUAUUAUUGUUGACUCAGAUCAAUCAUAUUUUUCUAUGUAAGUGCUUUAAAUAAAUUUGCCCUUUUUUUAAAAUCA
Micropterus dolomieu (smallmouth bass) is the source of this 1351-nucleotide long non-coding RNA. RefSeq lists it as uncharacterized. The record is from RefSeq and is a predicted model, not a curated record. The transcript is spliced from 2 exons. Lineage: Eukaryota; Metazoa; Chordata; Actinopteri; Centrarchiformes; Centrarchidae.